This 3258-nucleotide ribosomal RNA is filed under the name Triticum aestivum (bread wheat). Its description in RNAcentral is "partial small subunit ribosomal RNA". The record is from RNAcentral. Lineage: Eukaryota; Viridiplantae; Streptophyta; Magnoliopsida; Poales; Poaceae.
AUGUCCGAUCCGGAGAAGGCUCCUCGUUCCCUCGUCUAUCCAUCAGAGUGGGAUGCCAUGACCGCAGAUGAGCAGAUGUUGUGGUUUCUCAAGCAUCUAUCGGCACAGAUGGAUAGUAUGAAGUCCAAGCUCGCGGCUGCACGCGUGGGCGCGGGCGAUCCGGCAGAGGCCACCUCGCGUGUCAAUCCGGUUGCCUCCCCUGCUACUGCUUCGGCUACCUCAACCUCUGCCCUGGUCGCGUCUCACACCGACCGCGCAACCACGGCUGCUCCACCCACCAUCGCCGAGGAGGUCCACUGCACCGCCACCGCAUUCGACCCCAAUCCCGCGAUCGGCACCAACAACGCCAUAGCCACCCUUCGAACGAACGGAGUGGAAAUUCAGGAGGAGAACCAGGUGGUGGCAACAGCAAUUCAGGCUGUUAGCAUCAACAUCGGCGGCAAGUUCACUACUCCCGCACCUCCACUGGUGGCGUCCUCUCCAGAAGUCUCCACCGAGCCUGCUGUCCUUCCCGACGUUUCCUCGUCAACUGGACAGGCUGAGGAGAUCCUCCAUCAUGUGUCUUCUGAUUACAUCGCUACGACGCUCAUGACCUGUUCGACAGAAUGCUCGAAAAAAUUCAGUGCCAUGUCAUUCUUGUCUCCAGUCAUGACGACGUCGCUACCCCCAGCAGCCACACUUGUGCUCGUCGCCGACCUCAUUCACCCUGCUACCAACGAUGGUUCUAACCGGCGGGUGCCCCUGGACAUGGAAGACGAGCUCCUGACCAGUCUAUCUCCUCUGUCGUUCUCAAUUGUAGAUUCAACGCAGUCGUUUCUGAACCAGGACAGGGACGUCCCGUUUCCGACAAGGCACGAGGGGCUGCUGAUACGACCGACUCCGUGGCCAUCAUUUCAGAUGCAUUUUGCUGACGGCAAUGAUGUAAGGCCCGUGCCGUGGCCGUCGUUUGCUGGUUCUCUUGAAGGCACGACUCUGAAUUAUGAAGGGCUGUUGUUGCAAGUUACUUAUGUGGUGCAGCGUUUGCCGGUUGCUUUGAAUUUUUUGAGAGAAUACUGGAGGUAUCUACCAAGUGUGCGACUGAAAUCUUGUCCCUAUGAGAAGCUUGCUGGUUGGACCCCUAUGCUGCCAAAAGCAAUUCCCCUUCGGAAUCAGCAGAUAAUCCAAUCACUGGGUGAGGUGAAUUGGGGCGUUGUGGAGUGGUGGUCAGUGAUCUCUUUUGUACAGUCAUUUGCUCCUACUAUUCAUGUGUCCUGUAUAGUCUUCUCUAGCCAUGAGUCGACGAGGAAGCCUAUGCUACCCUGGAGGCUUGUCGUUCAUAUUGUGGCCAUGGAGGACGAGCUCCUCACCACUCUAUCUCUGAUAUUCUCAGCUGUCUAUUCAAAGCAGCCAUUCCUGAGCCAUGAUUUGGACGUUUCGCCGCGUACAAGGCACCAGGGGCUGCUGCUACAGCCGAUGUCGUGGCCAUCAUAUUGGGCAGCUCUUAUUGCAGAGGGAAUGGAAACCCGACCCAUUCCAUGGCCGCCGUUUGCAAUCGGUUUGCCAUCAAAAGUCUGCUGUUCUAGUGUUGUCCAUUGGAACUUCUCGGUGAUUGCUUCUGUUCAUGACCUUCAUACCUGGACAUUCAGGGCACAUCGGUUUUUGUCUGUCCAAGUGUGUGGCAUUGGCUUGACUAGCAGAUCUAAUCCAAAGAAACUAUUUCAUAUUGGAGCUUGUGUGUACAAUACAUGGCAACGGUGGUACAAUCUCAGUGGUUGUUUUGCUCUAGAAUGCAGUUCUGAACAAUAUGGUACACAGUGGCAGUCUUGGCGUAUACUGGAUCAGGCAACAUCUGAAUUUAAACACUUAAGUCAAAAAUGUUGCAGCCAAAUGGUGGUGCAGGAAACAUUGUAUCUCGGAAAACUUUCUACACAUGCAAGUUAUCUUAGCUGUUUUGGGCCAGAAGCAAUUCACUGGGAGCUAGUGAACUACAAGGGCAUACAAUUUUAUCCUUGCUGCAUAGGGCACUCACAGGAAGAUUCUGAAUUUGGAGUACAUCAUGUAUACAUGAGCACUAGUACGACACUGCUGUUGUUGCUGUUUAACUGGCAUUUAUUUCCAUAUACAAAGUUCCUUGUUGGAAAAAUGGCAGCAUUUAGGAAUUCAAGUGCAGUCAAGACCUCUGGGAACUCCAGUCAUCAACACUACUUUAAUGAAUGUGUGAAGUUAUGGCCUUCUGCUGCUGGAACUAACGAGAAGAUACUUGGUCAGAGGAGUUGGCAGUCUCGCUGCAAUGUCAAUAUGGCCUUUCUCACAUCUCCAAACCUGUAUAGACUGCGAGUGCUGGGGUGUAAUAGUUCGGCUGCUCCUGGGUUUCUUCAUACAUCCAUUGGUUUUUGGUUGGGGGAGCAACAUUUGUCAUUUCCUGAACUUGAUGCAGACGCAUGCAAGCAUGAACACAUACAUGCUGCAAGUGAGGGAGAUCCAGGAUGGUACUCUUUAUUCUGUGAUUGCUCCUUUGAUCUUACCAAGGCUCCGGUUGUUCUUUCGGUCAACUACCCUGCCGACGAAAUACUCAGCAAGAGAUCACAGGACAUGAGCUGUAUGGCAUCCUCUACAUGCUACAAUCAGGAUCAUUUUCAAGAAGGGAGGGGUGUCAUUGCAUUUGCCGACGUAUUCACGCAAGGCUGCUUCGGCUACAGGCACUACAUCGGCUUCGACUGUGAUGGCUACUUCUCCGUCGCAUUUCCCUCCAAGGUCAUCAACCACAACACCAACUUCAAUCGGGUCUCUGUCGGCCACGACUACUACUACCUCAAGCCCGACAACUUCUCCGAGCUUGUUCAAGUCCAUCUCGACCAUGGCUGCUACCGCGACAACUACCAUGGGGAUUCCGGCAUGAUUAAGGAUCUCCAAGCACCAUGGGAUCCUGGCAAAAUCUUCGUGAUAGCGGCUUGGGGGCAAGCCGCAUUUCAAGAAGGGAGGGAUGUUAGGGACCUCCCCUGGCCCAUACUCAUACCUGGGCUUUCCCCUUUGAUAGCUCAUGGGCCGGGCCCGUCUAUGCUCACCACUCGGCAACAGCCUACAAGUACUCGGAAGCAGGCAACGAGCACGGCAUCCAGUGGAUCACGAAACCCGGCGGCGGCGGCUAUCUUCUUCCCCUUCCUCCUCCUUCCCCAAUUCUUGUAUCCUGUGAUUGUAAUCCCUAAAUUGCUACACGAAUUCGUGAGAAGAGUACUAGAUCGAGAGAAGAUAUUGUUAAAAUACGUGUGGACAUUAUAA